GUAGGUGGCAAGCGUUGUCCGGAAUUAUUGGGCGUAAAGCGCGCGCAGGCGGUUCUUUAAGUCUGAUGUGAAAGCCCACGGGCUCAACCGUGGAGGGUCACUGGAAACUGGAGAACUUGAGUACAGAAGAGGAAAGCGGAAUUCCACGUGUAGCGGUGAAAUGCGUAGAGAUGUGGAGGAACACCAGUGGCGAAGGCGGCUUUCUGGUCUGUAACUGACGCUGAGGCGCGAAAGCGUGGGGAGCAAACAGGAUUAGAUACCCUGGUAGUCCACGCCGUAAACGAUGAGUGCUAAGUGUUAGGGGGGUUUCCGCCCCUUAGUGCUGCGGCUAACGCAUUAAGCACUCCGCCUGGGGAGUACGGCCGCAAAGGCUG
This 374-nucleotide ribosomal RNA is filed under the name uncultured organism. Its description in RNAcentral is "partial 16S ribosomal RNA". It matches the Rfam family "Bacterial small subunit ribosomal RNA", at positions 527 to 896 of the family's 1533-position model. The record is from RNAcentral.